This 69-nucleotide transfer RNA is filed under the name Rhinichthys osculus (speckled dace). Its description in RNAcentral is "tRNA-His". It matches the Rfam family "tRNA". From Rfam's summary of the family: Transfer RNA (tRNA) molecules are approximately 80 nucleotides in length. Their secondary structure includes four short double-helical elements and three loops (D, anti-codon, and T loops). The record is from RNAcentral. Lineage: Eukaryota; Metazoa; Chordata; Actinopteri; Cypriniformes; Leuciscidae.
GUAAGUAUAGUUUAAUCAAGAUGUCAGAUUGUGAUUCUGAAGACAGGGGUUGAAACCCCCUUACUCACC